This 66-nucleotide transfer RNA is filed under the name Pachycephus smyrnensis. RNAcentral's name for it is "tRNA-His". Lineage: Eukaryota; Metazoa; Arthropoda; Insecta; Hymenoptera; Cephidae. The record is from RNAcentral.
ACUUAAAUAGUUUAAUUAAAAAUAAUGAUUUGUGGUGUCAUUGAUAUAAUAUGGUUAUUUUAAGUU